This 496-nucleotide ribosomal RNA is filed under the name uncultured bacterium. RNAcentral describes it as "partial 16S ribosomal RNA". It matches the Rfam family "Bacterial small subunit ribosomal RNA", at positions 28 to 506 of the family's 1533-position model. The record is from RNAcentral.
GAUGAACGCUGGCGACGUGCCUAAUACAUGCAAGUCGAGCGAACAGACGAGGAGCUUGCUCCUCUGACGUUAGCGGCGGACGGGUGAGUAACACGUGGAUAACCUACCUAUAAGACUGGGAUAACUUCGGGAAACCGGAGCUAAUACCGGAUAAUAUAUUGAACCGCAUGGUUCAAUAGUGAAAGACGGUUUUGCUGUCACUUAUAGAUGGAUCCGCGCCGCAUUAGCUAGUUGGUAAGGUAACGGCUUACCAAGGCGACGAUGCGUAGCCGACCUGAGAGGGUGAUCGGCCACACUGGAACUGAGACACGGUCCAGACUCCUACGGGAGGCAGCAGUAGGGAAUCUUCCGCAAUGGGCGAAAGCCUGACGGAGCAACGCCGCGUGAGUGAUGAAGGUCUUCGGAUCGUAAAACUCUGUUAUUAGGGAAGAACAAAUGUGUAAGUAACUAUGCACGUCUUGACGGUACCUAAUCAGAAAACCACGGCUAACUACGU